Molecule: long non-coding RNA, 1331 nt
Organism: Drosophila persimilis
Lineage: Eukaryota; Metazoa; Arthropoda; Insecta; Diptera; Drosophilidae
Exons: 3
Source: RefSeq, a predicted model, not a curated record
UUGGCCAAGUUAGAGCCUCAGAGCACUCGGCCGAUGAGUGGCUUCGAGAGAAGCCAGAGAUGCUCUCUGGGAACACAGCUGGAAAAAAGGCUAGAAAAGAGCUUUGGAAAAUAGCUAGAAGACAGAAAAAAGUGCCCGCAAAAUGGGGUAAGGAGAAGGCAUACAGUAAUCGAAACGCUUCCAGCCAAAACCCACAGCUCUGAUCGGCGUUCGAUGGAUCGUUCGAGUGCGGAGCUCGGCAAACAAACUCAAUUCACUUUCAACUGGAACUGGUAUUGGGCUGGGGGCUCUGUCUCUGCUCCGUCUCCGUCUCCGUCUCUAUCUGGGCAAUAUGGCUGGAUUCGAUCGCGUUUCAGUCUGCAGCCGGUUUGAGCCGAGUCGGAGCUGGGCUGUGCUGGGCUGUGCUGGGCGCAUGCGUACGCAUUUCAAUGAGGGGCUCCGCCAUGUGGGCUCCAAGCGAUACCCAGCAUAAUGGCCUGCCCAUCCAUAUGCAUGACAGCCUAUCGUACCAUCUGCCUUGGAUCUAUCUAUCUAUCUAUCUAUCUGUCUAUCUGUAUGCCAGAUGCGGACAUAUCGGACCCUCGGGGUGUACCCACAGUGUUUGCAUAUCAAUCAAGUGUUAAUUGAAUAAUACAGUUAUCGGCAACUGCAGACACAAGAGAGACAGGCACCCACAACGUAGAUUGCAUCAUCAACAAGCCCAUUCGCUGGAGAACCCAUCGAGAGAACUUCAGCCCGUGGAUAACUUUAUUGGCUUCGUGUCGUGACUGAGUGAACCACAACAACCACAUUUCUGGGAACACUCUCACACACACACACACACACACACAAACCAGUUGGCCGAAAACUUUAACGUUUCGUGUCUAGAACUUGCAGGAACCAAACCCAGCCCGCCAGCCAAAAACAAAAAAAAAACAAUCCAAUAAUUAAAUUUCAAAUUCAAUUCCAGAAGAAAUAUUCAUCGAAACCUAUGCAAGCCACAGACUUGAUGGAGAAUCAGUUGAAAGAGGCUUUGCUGCCAACGAUCUGGCUUGCAGCCAUGGGAUGGUAGGAGUAUCUGAGUGCGAGGAUGAUAUCUGUACAGCAGAAGAGGUCAGUAGCUGUGCCCGAUCUUCUGACACCCCGCCCGCCGAUGGACAGAUGGAAUCCGAGUGCGAAUCAGCAAAACUGGUCACCAACCAUAUAUAUAUAUGUAUAUAUAUAUAUGUACAUGUAUUUAGCCGCCUCUGCACCUGUACGGGCAUUCGAUGCACAAAAACUUUCGAUUUUAGUUUGAAAUGUCAAUAGAACUUGAAUUCAUUUAGGGUUUCUGCUGCUGUUGCUGUCGCUUU